UCCCUGGUGGCCCACUGGUUAGGGCUUGGCAUUUUCACUUCCAUGACCUGGGUUCAAUCCCUGGUUGGGGAG
This 72-nucleotide transfer RNA is filed under the name Bos taurus (domestic cattle). It matches the Rfam family "tRNA". Rfam says of the family: Transfer RNA (tRNA) molecules are approximately 80 nucleotides in length. The record is from Rfam by way of RNAcentral. Lineage: Eukaryota; Metazoa; Chordata; Mammalia; Artiodactyla; Bovidae. RNAcentral also lists the same sequence under 5 other names.